Oncorhynchus keta (chum salmon) is the source of this 2661-nucleotide long non-coding RNA. RefSeq lists it as uncharacterized. The record is from RefSeq and is a predicted model, not a curated record. The transcript is spliced from 3 exons. NCBI's taxonomy places the organism in Eukaryota, Metazoa, Chordata, Actinopteri, Salmoniformes, Salmonidae.
AAGCCUUCUUCACAACAAUUGAACCGCUCUCCUUGAAGUUCUUGAUGAUCCGAUAAAUGGUUGAUUUAGGUGCAAUCUUACUGGCAGCAAUAUCCUUGCCUGUGAAGCCCUUUUUGUGCAAAGCAAUGAUGACGGCACAUGUUUCCUUGCAGGUAACCAUGACUGACAAAGGAAGAACAAGGAUUCCAAGCACCACCCUCCUUUUGAAGCUUCCAGUCUGUUAUUCGAACUCAAACAGCAUGAGAGCGGGAUCUCCAGCCAUGUCCUCGUCAACACUCAGACCUGUGUUAACGAAAGAAUCACUGACAUGUCAGCUGGUCCUUUUGUGGCAGGGCUGACAUGCAGUGGAAAUGGUUUUGGGGGAUUCAGUUCAUUUGCAUGGCCAAGAGGGACUUUGCAAUUAAUUUCAAUUAAUCUGAUCACUCUUCAUAACAUUCUGGAGUAUAUGCAAAUUGCCAUCAUACAAACUGAGACAGAAGACUUUGUGAAAAUUAAUUUGUGUCAUUCUCAAAACUUUUGGCCACGACUGUAUUCUGGAUAGGGCAGUACUUUUGUGUAGUACCUUACCCUAGAAGUGAGGACGGAGAUAAUAGUAACAUAAUAUUCAGUGCGGUGUAAUUUGACUAUAAUGAAGUCUGUUUCUGGUGAGGUUAUCUUUCCUCAGUUAAAGAGCGCUAUGAAAGCAUAUCUACAUAUGAAGAGGUUCCAAUGAAGAACAGUGGUUCUCAGUCCUUGUCCUGGGGACUCAAAGGGGUGAAGGUUGUUGUUGUCUUAGCACUGCACAGCUGACUCAAAUGAUCAACUCAUAAUCAAGCUUCGAGUGGUAUUUAUGUAUUCAUUUGUGAUGCUAUCCUAGAUAUGAUCCUGUUAUUGUCAAUAUGUGUGCCCAUGCAUCUAUUAAUCCAAUGUUAUCAUGAUUUGUUAUCGGGGAUAUUAUACCUUAGUAAUCCACAGUGACCUGGUGAUGUAAAAGUCAAAUAAUUACAUUAUCUUCCAUAUUCCUAGAUACCUUGUAACUGGAGAUUCCUUCAAAACAAUUGCCUACAGUUAACGUGUAGGGCACUGCAAGGUUGGGUGACCAGGGCCAUCUGGGACUGCCUCCUGGAGGAAUUCAGGUAUGUGAAGGCUACCUGUGUCCUGCAUAACUUCUUGAGGAUGGACACGAGAACGAGGAGGGGAUCUGCAGCUCGCCGCCAUGUGCCAGAGGAGUCUGCUGCUCUGCAGGAUGUUUCAAGGAUGGGGUCCAACAACGCAGCAAGAGGCAAUCUGUGUACAGGAGAUAUUCACCUCCUACUUCUUUGAAGAGGGUUCUGUUCCCUGGCAACACCAUAGACUACACUAUGGACAACCAAAGGCUCUUUUAAGAGCCAUUCAUAUUGCAAUAAGAGUAUUCUUCCAUUUACUUAUGUCAACCGCAGUUAUUCAGUUCCCAGUUUCCCUCCCUUUGAUUUCUUCUUCUUAAGUGAGGGUGAUGUCUGUACAAAAACAAAGACACCCUAUAACCCACACACAUUUAUCAAUCUGAUUGUGUUAUGCAGUAACAGGCUCAUGUGUAAUACUGUGACUCCUUCCACCUUCAAAGAAUAGGCAAGAGGGCCAACCAUGGAGAAUAGUAAAACACUAAAUUAUUUCUAUUUCUAUAUUGUUUGUCCUCGUGUGUCCGUUUGUUUUUCAGCAUAAAGUACUCUGCAGCCAGCGUGGUGCGGACACCAGGUUAUAUCAGCUGUGUUGGUGAACCCCUUCCGCAACUGAACUGGCUGCAUAGAGGGCACAGCAUGAUCAGAGAUAUGUUUUGAUGUGAGAGGAUCCCAUCAUCGCCAGCUCACCUGCUUUUAAGAUAAACUUCGGGUAGACUAGACGCUAUUAUAAUAUAAUAAUAAUAAUAAUAUAUGCCAUUUAGCAGACGCUUUUAUCCAAAGCGACUUACAGUCAUGUGUGCAUACAUUCUACGUAUGGGUGGUCCCGGGAAUCGAACCCACUACCCUGGCGUUAUAAGCGCCAUGCUCUACCAACUGAGCUACAGAAGGACUCGACACAUAUAUACACGCUCACACAGACACAUAUAUACACGCUCACACAGACACAUAUAUACACGCUCACACAGACACACAUAUACACGCUCACACAGACACAUAUAUACACGCUCACACAGACACACAUAUACACGCUCACACAGACACAUAUAUACACGCUCACACAGACACAUAUACACACGCUCACACAGACACAUAUAUACACACUCACACAGACACAUAUAUACACGCUCACACAGACACAUAUAUACACACUCACACAGACACAUACAGUGCCUUGCGAAAGUAUCUGGCCCCCCUGAACUUUGCGACCCCCCGCCACACCUCAGGCCCCAAACACAAAGAUACAAAACUGCACUUUGUUGUGAAGAAUCAACAACAAGUGGGACACAAUCAUGAAGUGGAAGGACACCCACUGGAUAUUUCAAACCCCUUCAACAAAUCAAAAACUGAAAAGCUAUUAUGUAAUUGUGACAGAGAAUAUUUGGGUAGCACUGGGAUUCAAUUCAAUAUGCUGCCUUCCCUGCUCCUAUAUUCUUACACCUCUCACCUCCUUUCUUCCUCUGUUUUUAAAAAUGCACAAGAGAUGUGCAUUGAAGUACAGAUUGAACUUGUAUUUAUAAUACAA